CAUGAUUAAUGUAAUGCAAAAUACAGCUUUCAGCACAGUUUGAAACAGUUUCCGCCUUUAGAACGCCUUCACUGCAUGACUUUUAUAGAUACUGCCACUGCCUGUUCAAACUAGUGCAGUGACCCUGUAACAACAUAUUGGUCGCAAGUUACAAGAAACUCAAUUAUCUUGUGGAGUGCUGGAAACGUCAAUGAAAUCUUGCUCAGCAGCCAUGGUUGGUGUGUUUCUUCUUGCGUAUAUCUCCGUGAAUUUAUUCCUUAAAUGUCAAGGUCAAAAGAUUAAUCAAGCUAAGAUUUUCAGUGAAAAUGCAGAAGUAUCAGAAGGUGGUAGACUGGAAGUUACUUGCAGCACAUUUGGUUUUACAGGAAAGGCAGUUUAUUUAUAUCUGUGUAAAAAUGGUAAAGCUAUUGAUA
Molecule: long non-coding RNA, 413 nt
Organism: Cyprinus carpio (common carp)
Lineage: Eukaryota; Metazoa; Chordata; Actinopteri; Cypriniformes; Cyprinidae
Exons: 3
Source: RefSeq, a predicted model, not a curated record